This 250-nucleotide unclassified non-coding RNA is filed under the name plant metagenome. RNAcentral describes it as "partial contains small subunit ribosomal RNA, internal transcribed spacer 1, and 5.8S ribosomal RNA". The record is from RNAcentral.
GUAGGUGAACCUGCGGAAGGAUCAUUAACACAAAAAAUCGAUGAUGUUAGUUGUGAGAAAGGUGUAACAGCCCUAUUGCAAUUGAUAUUGUCAACCCACAUCAACCCGCGCACUUGUCUUAGUUUCCCUCUAGUGGACUGGCGAAAGGUAUGCACCACUGUUUACAGUUUAGUUGCAGGAGAGAACUGCAACUUAUUAAAACGUAGUAUACUGAAGUACUGUCAGCAAGCCUGAGGUUCAUAUGCUCUGC